ACCUUUCCCUUCCUGAACAGACCUUUUAUUUGGUAGGUAAUAUCGAUGAAGCUACUGCGAAGGGUAUGAACUUAGAAAUGGAAAGCAUUUUGAAGAAAUGACUUUAAAUCUUUGUGUACUGACCCUUAAUUGAAUUGUUUGGGAUUCUAUCUGAAUGAUGGGUCUCAACUCAGGAGGAAGAACUGGUAAUAAACACAAAACCCAUCCAUUUUGGUUCUAUAUUUGUUCGAAUAAAAUGCUUAGUCAAUUCAAUGCGUCUAACUAAAAAAUCCUUUCUUCUUCCAACCUUUUGAUCUUCCCAUUCAUAUCCUGUGGUUCCUUCUUCCCCUAUGUGUUGUCCGGAAAGAAGAGGACUCAAUGAUUAUUCGUUCACCGGAACCAGAAGUCAAAAUUUUGGUGGAUAAGGGUCCCUAAAAACUUCUUUCGAUGAAUGGGCCAGACCAGGCCAUUUCUCAAGAACAGUAGCUAAAGGACCUGAUACUACCACUUGGAUCUGGAACCUACAUGCUGAUGCUCAUGAUUUCAAUAGCCAUACCAGUGAUUUGGAGGAGAUCUCUCGCUAUCAACUUCUUGGUCUUAUGGUAUAUCUCAGUAUCAAGGAUGAUACGAAGAUCUGUAUUUGUUUAUAAACUCUCCUGGUGGAUGGGUAAUACCUGGAGUAGCUAUUUACGAUACUAUGCAAUUUGUGAGUCCCAAAUAAUGAGAAAUAUUUAAAAAAACAGGUUUGAUUACGCCUAUUCCUAAUCCUAAAUGGAAUGGAAUGACCUAGGGAUCCAUAUGUAAAUAUAGUAUCUAUUUAGAUACGUUCGAAUGACCCCUUGAGAAUGUAUAUAACCCUAUUCCGGUCUAGUCCGGUAUGGAAUGAACUUAUAAUCAUGGAAUCGACUCGAUCAUCAGAUUACAAAUUCAUAACCCUAGCCCAUUCCCAUUUUGGUCGGAACAGAUCUGCUAAUUCUUUGAUUCCAGUUAGUAAGAGGGAUCUUAAACUAAG
RNAcentral lists this long non-coding RNA (991 nucleotides) under Olea europaea subsp. europaea. Lineage: Eukaryota; Viridiplantae; Streptophyta; Magnoliopsida; Lamiales; Oleaceae. The record is from RNAcentral.